Molecule: unclassified non-coding RNA, 253 nt
Filed under: uncultured Cellvibrionales bacterium
Lineage: Bacteria; Pseudomonadati; Pseudomonadota; Gammaproteobacteria; Cellvibrionales
Description: contains 16S-23S intergenic spacer region
Rfam family: Bacterial small subunit ribosomal RNA
Source: RNAcentral
UACGGAGGGCGCAAGCGUUCAUCGGGAUUACUGGGCGUAAAGCGCGCGUAGGCGAUUAGUUAAGCUGGAUGUGAAAGCCCAGGGCUCAACCUUGGAACUGCAUUCAGAACUGGCUGGCUAGAGUGCGAGAGAGGGUAGUGGAAUUUCCUGUGUAGCGGUGAAAUGCGUAGAUAUAGGAAGGAACAUCAGUGGCGAAGGCGACUGCCUGGCUCGAUACUGACGCUGAGGUGCGAAAGCGUGGGGAGCAAACAGG